Schistocerca gregaria is the source of this 832-nucleotide long non-coding RNA. RefSeq lists it as uncharacterized. NCBI's taxonomy places the organism in Eukaryota, Metazoa, Arthropoda, Insecta, Orthoptera, Acrididae. The record is from RefSeq and is a predicted model, not a curated record. The transcript is spliced from 2 exons.
UUUGUUUAUUUAAUUAUUUAAUAUAAAUAAUUUUAUUGUAUUUUUGUCUUAGUAUAUUUUAUAGAAUUGAUUUUUUAAAUUAUAGUUUAUUGGUAAUGUAAGUGUUUUAUGAAAUAUUAUUUUAAAUUUUUUUAAGUAGAUUUUAUUUAUUGUACGUUUUGUAUCAGGGUUUAUCAAAAUUUUAGUAUUUAUUUUACUUGUCUCGAUUUGGGUUGAUUUAUAAAUAAUUUAUAGUUAAUGUAUCAUAAUUAUUAAUAAAUUAUUUAUAGAAAUGAGAUGUUAAUCGUUUCCCAAGAUAUCUAGUUUCUUAAGAAAAAAUUUAAUUUUUUAAAGUUAUUUGUUUUUAUUUUAUUUUUUAAGUAAAAAUAUUAACUUAUUUAUUCUUUAAGGGAUAAGCUUUGAAGUUAAUAACCUAUAAUUUAUUUUAUAGAAAUAUAAUAGUAAGCUUUAAACCAGCUAUCUUUAAGAUUACGUUUUAGUUCAUUAUCUUUUAUUUUGAUUUUAUAAAUAUUUUAGGUUUUUUAUUAAGAUUAUUAAUUUAAUUUUAAAAUUUUUGUAAUAAUGAUAGAAUUAGUAUAUAUAUUUGUAUUAAAUUUUUACCUUGUGAACUUAUUAUAAGGAACUAGGCAAAAUUGAUUUCCGCCUGUUUAUCAAAAACAUGUCCUCUUGUUUAUAUUUUGAGGUCUGGCCUGCUCACUGGGCGUAUUUUUAAAGAGCCGCGGUAUUUUGACCGUGCAAAGGUAGCAUAAUCAUUAGUCUCUUAAUUAGUGGCUGGAAUGAAUGGCUUGACGAGAAAUCAACUGUCUUUUAAUAAAUUUUUGAAUUUAACUUU